RNAcentral lists this small RNA (419 nucleotides) under Pongo abelii (Sumatran orangutan). RNAcentral describes it as "processed transcript". The record is from RNAcentral. Lineage: Eukaryota; Metazoa; Chordata; Mammalia; Primates; Hominidae.
CGGGAGGAGGUUGAUCAAAGAAUCAAGAAUGAUACUGAGGAGUAUUCUGAGAAGUUUUCAGAGGAUGCCAAAUCUAUCUGCAGGAUGCCUCAUGCCGUUUACUGUAAGGACGUCCUGGAUAUUGAGCAGUUCUCGGCGGUGAAAGGGAUCUACCUGGACACCGCAGAUGAAGACUUCUAUGCUCAGUUUGCUACAGGGUGUGUCUCCAUCCCCUGGCAGAAUGAGAUGAUCGAAUCUGGGUGUUUCAAAGACAUCAACAAAAGUGAAAGUGAGGAAGCUUUGCCAUUAGAUCUAGACAAGAACAUACAUACCCCGGUUUCCAGACCAAACAGAGGCUUCUUCUAUAGACUCUUCAGAAGAGGGGUAAAAACACUUAAAAACUAAUAUGUGUAUGUGAAAAGAAAAACACACUGACUACC